UAAAUCAUAGUGAUAUUAACUCAUAAAUGUUUUGUUGAAAAAACUUUCUUUAAGUAUUAAAAAAAUUGUGAAAAGGGAUAGAAAGGUCUCGAAUAUAACAUUCCUAACCAUAAUUUUAAGGGCUGAAAAAGAGUUAAAGCUCAUUUAGGGACGAGUUUUAAAUAAAUAGGGCCGGAAUCUACGGAAAACUCUAUAUAACAUUCCUAACCAUAAUUUUAUAUAGAUAAAUAUAUUCUUUUCCGCCAAUAGUAUAUGAGCUAAAAUAUUACUUUCAUGUUCCUUACAGUUGUGCUAACAUGUAUACACGAAUCUCAUCAAUUAUCUCAUUUUAUGGAGUUAUGAUCGCUCUUUCUCUCUAAUGCUGGCAAAGGUAGGUUUUGAUAAAUUGUUCUCUGCAUUUGUGG
This 404-nucleotide small RNA is filed under the name Arabidopsis thaliana (thale cress). RNAcentral describes it as "ATSL212120". Lineage: Eukaryota; Viridiplantae; Streptophyta; Magnoliopsida; Brassicales; Brassicaceae. The record is from RNAcentral.